RNAcentral lists this ribosomal RNA (253 nucleotides) under uncultured bacterium. RNAcentral describes it as "partial 16S ribosomal RNA". It matches the Rfam family "Bacterial small subunit ribosomal RNA", at positions 524 to 776 of the family's 1533-position model. The record is from RNAcentral.
UACGUAGGGUCCGAGCGUUGUCCGGAAUUACUGGGCGUAAAGAGCUCGUAGGUGGUUUGUCGCGUUGUCCGUGAAAACUCACAACUCAAUUGUGGGCGUGCGGGCGAUACGGGCAGACUGGAGUACUGCAGGGGAGACUGGAAUUCCUGGUGUAGCGGUGGAAUGCGCAGAUAUCAGGAGGAACACCGGUGGCGAAGGCGGGUCUCUGGGCAGUAACUGACGCUGAGGAGCGAAAGCGUGGGGAGCGAACAGG